RNAcentral lists this long non-coding RNA (668 nucleotides) under Mytilus galloprovincialis (Mediterranean mussel). The record is from RNAcentral. Lineage: Eukaryota; Metazoa; Mollusca; Bivalvia; Mytilida; Mytilidae.
UGGCCCGAGACCACAAUUAAUUCUUCUAUCAUUUCUUUACAACGUUUUGUCGCAUUAAAAAAAAUUGAAUUGUUCUUUUUGUCUAAUUUUUUGUGUGAGUAAUGUACAGUUCAAGUCCCAAACCAUAUGCAAUUUUCAGAAAAAUUGCAUGUUUACAUCAUACAAAUUUGGCCAAUACACAUCCAUACCCCUAUAGGCAAGUCAAGAGAUGUUCCGAAAAGUGUAAAUAUAACCUUUUUGCACCUGGCCUAAUCACUCUUUCCUUAUUAAAAUCAGUUAAAAUAAAACAUCCAAAAGUUUAUUUCAGCUCUCUUCUUUCAUUCCCACCCCAGAAAAGCUAAGAAAUGAAUGAGAAAGGGAAAGAAAAAAAAUAAAGAAAAAAUACACUAUAAUUAAAGGGAACUAUAUUCGUGAACAACGAAAAGCGGGGUCAUUAAUUGUGGUCUUGGGCCUAUUAGGGGCCAAAAACUUGACCAAUUCCAAUAAAACUUGGCAUGAUUUAAGCUUAGUGUUUUAUGAGUCAGUUUACAAAGUUUCAUAGCCAUAUGAUAUAUAUUUUAGAAAAUGUGAUAUUUUUUAUAUCUCAACUUUGGUUGCUGAAUUAUGACGUAUAGAUAGAAAAAUUUCAACUUUCAAAUUUUGGCUUCAAAAAUCCCCCCAAAACACCA